This 664-nucleotide long non-coding RNA is filed under the name Zonotrichia albicollis (white-throated sparrow). Its description in RNAcentral is "lncRNA (ENSZALG00000005081.1)". The record is from RNAcentral. Lineage: Eukaryota; Metazoa; Chordata; Aves; Passeriformes; Passerellidae.
AUGUUGGAAAGUGUGCAGAGGAUGGAGAAAGGUCUGGAGGAAUGGCUGAGGGUGUUUCAGGACACUCAGGGAUCUUCAGCUCUGAUCUCUGUGACCGAGACAGGAUCCUGGGAAUGGCUGGAGCUGUGCCAGGGGAGGUUUAGGAUGGAUUUUAGGGAAAGGUUUUCCUCCACAGAGUCCCCAGAAAAUGGGAUGAAGCUGUGCCAGGGGAGGUUUAGGAUGGAUUUUAGGGAAAGGUUUUCCUCCACAGUGCCCAGGCUUCUCAGGAAAUGGGAUGAAACUGCCAGGGAAGGUUUAGGAUGGAUUUUAGGGAAAGGUUUUCCUCCACAGUGCCCAGGCUUCUCAGGAAAUGGGAUGAAACUGCCAGGGAAGGUUUUGGAUGGAUUUUAGGGAAAGGUUCUUCCUCCAGAGAGCCCCCAGGGAAUGAGAUGAAACUGUUCCAGGGAACGUUUAGGAUGGAUUUUAGGGAAAGGUUCUUCCUCCAGAGAGUCCACAGGAAAUGGGGUGAAGCUCUGCCAGGGGAGGUUUAGGAUGGAUUUUAGGGAAAGGUUCUUCCUCCAGAGAGUCCACAGGAAAUGGGAUGAAGCUGUUCCAGGGGAGGUUUAGGAUGGAUUUUAGAGCCCCCAGAGGGUGCUGGGCACACCCAGGCUCCCCAGGGAAUGGG